Molecule: non-coding RNA, 244 nt
Organism: Prunus avium (sweet cherry)
Lineage: Eukaryota; Viridiplantae; Streptophyta; Magnoliopsida; Rosales; Rosaceae
Source: RefSeq, a predicted model, not a curated record
CAAUGGGAUCUGUAAUAUCUUUUACGUGUGUACUCCAUAUUUUGUGGUGAUGUUCACUGGUUCUGAUGUCGCUGGUGGCUCAAAACGCUUCAACAAUGCUUAUAUCUCACAGUCAACAGGAGCCUUGAGAUCAUUGUUAAGAGAGCAUGAUGUUUGUUUCUCUAUGCCUCUUUGCCGUUCUAAGGUAGAGCAAGUCGCUCAAGAAGUUCUUAUUGAGCUCUCAGAGAUGGAGAAGCAGAAUUUC